CAGUCGCCGCGGUAAUACGUAGGGUGCAAGCGUUAAUCGGAAUUACUGGGCGUAAAGCGUGCGCAGGCGGUCCGCUAAGACAGAUGUGAAAUCCCCGGGCUUAACCUGGGAACUGCAUUUGUGACUGGCAAGCUAGAGUAUGGCAGAGGGGGGUGGAAUUCCGCGUGUAGCAGUGAAAUGCGUAGAUAUGCGGAGGAACACCGAUGGCGAAGGCAGCCCCCUGGGCUAAGAUUGACGCUCAUGCACGAAAGCGUGGGGAGCGAACAGGAUUAGAUACCCCCGUAGUCCCUGUCUCUUAUAC
RNAcentral lists this ribosomal RNA (301 nucleotides) under uncultured bacterium. Its description in RNAcentral is "partial 16S ribosomal RNA". It matches the Rfam family "Bacterial small subunit ribosomal RNA", at positions 509 to 807 of the family's 1533-position model. The record is from RNAcentral.